ACCAGUCAAAGUUUACAAAUUGUUUCUUCGAUACCAGUGAACGUUUACAAAGUAUUUCUUCAAUACCAGAGAUAUGUUAGGUAGAAUAAUCUGAUUACCAUAAUGAGCAACGUUUAAGCAAUUGUCAGAUCUACGUAGAAUCGAAUUGGACAUUUUUAGCUGACCGCCAUUCUUUAAGUAGUGUAGCGUUGUGCGUUUCUAUGAUGGCCUAUAGAGUAUACCAACAACAAGGUUUUUAGUUUCGUUUAUCAGUUUUGUUCUACACAAGAACAACUCAUGCAAACUACAUUCUUUGUCAUAUGAUAAAUUUAACUGUGUUGACUAACUUCAUUGUAUUGAGGCUAAACUCGAAUAUUCACAAGAAUUAACGGUUACGGUACACUUGCCCAAGAUAUCACCAUCUUACAGGAAAUGGAAAGUCAUAAUCUAAAAAACACGUCCAAAUUGUGGUGGGGAAGCUUUCGUACUGAUUGGUUGAUCGAGAGGCAGGGAAAAUGAGCCAAGCCUGAAUAUCCGGGCGUGACUUAUCCGACAUUUGCCUGCGGUGCGGGCAGCAUUAUUUCUUCGGAUAUUGUUCACUGGCUGGCAAAAAACGAGAAAUCUCUAAAACGUUAUCAGGGGGAGGAUGUCUCUAUGGGUAUUUGGUUAUCAGCUAUUCCUCCUGAAAUUUAUAAUGCAAGAUCUCCUGUUCUUCCCUGUAAGUUAUUGACAGUUGUUCAACAAGAUCCUUUAUGGUGAUCGUACUCCAACAAUCUUUUUUCAACAUCACGAGGAUUCAAUAGAAACGUUUGACAUGACCGUUAAAAUUUCUUCAUCGGAAACGCUCCCACCGUUUGGUAGAGCAAUAAACCGAUCAGCGUUUUUAAUAUCUUCUAUCAAACUUCCACCUCUUUCCUCGGGUGCGAACACGCUACCAUUGCUUGUCAAGCUGUCGGCAACGUUCGACUCCUUUCGACCAAUUUUAUCGGGAGAUCCCGACUCUCGACCACGAGCGCUCUCCGUCUCGCUGUUGAAUCUAGAGUGACGAGUCUCGCUACUCGUGGAAAUGUAGCUGUUCUCUUGCGGACUUCCUUGUUGUCGUCUCUGCUCUCGUUGUUGUUUUUAUUCGCAUGCUGCAAGUUUCGCAGUCAAAUCACGUAUUUCCUCCUGUGAAAAGUGUAAGGAUAAUGAUUUUAAUAUGGGAAUGUCAUUAAUUGAA
This is a long non-coding RNA of Xenia sp. Carnegie-2017, 1198 nucleotides long. RefSeq lists it as uncharacterized. The record is from RefSeq and is a predicted model, not a curated record. Lineage: Eukaryota; Metazoa; Cnidaria; Anthozoa; Malacalcyonacea; Xeniidae. The transcript is spliced from 4 exons.